ACUGUGUGUUUCAGCUCUCUGGUGUGAACGAGGACAUCGUCACCAAACUGGACAAAGCAGUGAUCAGGACCAACAAGGGUAAAAGUGAUGAAGGAAAUUUCCUCGCCAGGAUCUUCGCGACCAUGAAACAAUGGUUCUCACAGUGAUAGCUGUAAUUGGUUUCAUUGUCUACAAAAAGAGAACAGGUGAGAGACAAAAACAGAAAUCCCUUUUACUCGAUGGCUUAUCCAAAACAGAAUAAGCUCCACAAGGCCCAGAGUCACAAUUCCAGAAGAAUAGGAGCUGCAUGA
Molecule: long non-coding RNA, 290 nt
Organism: Maylandia zebra (zebra mbuna)
Lineage: Eukaryota; Metazoa; Chordata; Actinopteri; Cichliformes; Cichlidae
Product: class I histocompatibility antigen, F10 alpha chain
Source: RefSeq, a predicted model, not a curated record